CAGGAGUUGAUUGAAGACCUCCCCCUUGAGUCUGAGCCAAGCUCUAUCCUCUCCAGCUCUGUGGCUGCGGUUUGCAACCUCAGCAAACUGAAGCUGCCUCUUGAGCUGGAAUCACACCUCCUGCGGGCUGUCCUGUACAGUGUUUUUACCAUGGGCACAGGGAAGGACACCGCUCACUUCCAGGCUCUUCACAAGGCCUAUGUAGACAGCCUGGACAUUAUGCUGAGGAGCCUGCUCACAGAAACCCUCACCACGGACAAGCUGCAGCACCUCUUGGAGAGUGACGCAAGAGAGAGCUAGGUCCAUACGGAGCAGCACUGCCCUACUCCGAUACACCACCUGCCUCCCAGGAUUUGAUAGCUCAUCUGACUUCCCCAAGGUGGGGUAUCUUGUGGCACAGCUGGGUCUCUAUGUCACUGACCCAGCAUGUGAUAUCAGCUGCAAUCCAGGGAGGGGAUUUACAGGCUCUACCAGCUACGGCUGCAGAAGAGGGGGCUGAACAUCAGAGAUGUCAAAGAGCUGUGGUGUCAGGAUGGGCUCCAGGACACCAAGUACCUUGGCUAUAGAAAUAUGGCCAGAGUGGGGGAGGAAGAAAGUCCCCAGGUGAGGAUUUGUGGGACUGGAACCCAGAUCUGCAGGUCUCCCUCCAUGUGGGCACUGCUUGGAAGUACCGGGAAGUUAUCUGGGCAACAAGGCAGAUCCCUGCCCGUCUGCUGAGCCAGUCCCCACCUUGAUCCUGGUUCAUGCCUCCGUGCACCACUCUGCCCUGCCCUCCAGUUCCUGGCUAUUGACUUUGGCUUGACCCUCAGCUCCGGACUCUGGUUACUGACCUUGGCAUGACCCUUGGCUCUAGAUGUUGGCUGUGAACUCUUGCUCUGUAUUGUCCUUGCCGCCCUCUAGCCUCACUCCAGCCCCACCACCAACUCACUCCAGCCUUGUCUCCUACUCCUGAUCCUCCUCAGUCCCUUGGACUCUGACUACCUGGCUUUGAAUUUCUGCCUGUGUCUGGACUCUGGCUUGAUAUCAGCUUGGUUUAUCUUUGGACUCUAACCACCCAGCUUUGACCACUGGCCUGCACCUGGACUCGGGCUCCAGUUCUGAUUCUGGUUUGUCUGUGGACUCUGAUCUUGAUUUUGACCUUGCCCUGUCCUUGGAUCUUGAUUCCUGCACCAUCCUUCACCCAGGUCCAAACCUAUGCCUAGCUGGGACUUUUGCUUGAAGCAGUAGGCCUAAUUAUAGGAAGCAGAGCCUGACACCAGGUGAUGCAACUUUUUGCAGAAAACAGGCCCUUUGCUAGUAAGUGGCCCGUACACAAAAGGGGACACAUCACACCAGGUGUGAACGAAGGCCUUGCUAACUGAGCUUGGCCCUGGGGUUCCUCUACCUGAGUGGUUUGAUGGAAAUGACUGAAAAUGUAGGGGUUUCUUAACUAGCCUCUGCCCCUGGACCUACCCCACCCAUCAGGCUAAGGGGGGAUUGGUAACUAGUUUAUUGACCAGUGAGGUGCUAGACUGGGCCUCACCUCUACUCAAACUGAAUUUUCUGGCACUAAUAUGCUGGAGCACCUUCCUGUGAUUGGCUGAAGCUCUCCUGCCAAAAUUCCUGCAGGCACAUAGGCCAGCCGUCUCCUAUACCAUGCAGUUUUGAUGGCUUGUGGCCAAUGUCGAGUGGACCCAGAUGGCCCAGUUUUAUCAUUUCCGCUGGGCACUCAGUGAAGAGGUCAAGGAGGAGUUAGCCUGACUAGAAGCCCUCUUGGGCCUGUACAGCUUCAUUGAUCUGGUCAACCACAUUGAGAACUGCCAUCGCAAGCGCAGGGAGGAAGAGAAGAGGGUGUCACAGAGCCGCCUUGGCCUGGCUCUGCACUAACACCCUUGAACUCAUCCCCUGAACCUGAAGUCAGCGCAAUGACUUGUUCUUCUACUGUGGUAAGUCAGGGCACGCACUCACUUGCUGCCUGUCAUGGACCCCAGCCCGAAAAGUAUUAGGAAAUGAACAAGGCCAAGUCUUCAUGGAAAUCCAGGUCCAUCAGGGCCCUCAUUGCAUCUCCAAGUUCCAAUUCAGUUGUGCAUCUCCAGAGAAACACGACAAGUGGCAUUGCAGUGGGCACUUAUUGAUUCUGGGGCUGCGGACAAUUUCAUAAAUUUCGAGACAGCCCAAGAUCUGCAAAUCCUUGUCCUGCAGAAGUCACAUCAGAUGUUGUGGGAACGAUUGACAAGACCCUCCUGUCCUCAGGACUGGUGACUCAGGUAAUGGUGCCCCUGCAAGCAGUAACCCAGGUACACAAAGAAGUGCUAACGUUCACUGUGAUGUGUUCCCCACAUUUUGGUGGGCUCACCUGGUUAGCAUGACAGGACCCCCAUGUUCUCUGGCAAACCCGGAAGACCAGCUUUUCCUCCAAGCAGGCCUAUCUCCAUAGCAACAGCAACAAGUUCCUUGUCCAAGAGACCCAUUGCCAGACAGUGGUGAGUCCACCCCUGUGUGUACCAGGGCUCACAGCAACUGGCUGCAGUGAUCCAUUCUUGGGUCUGACACCCCACAUUCCUGUUAAGUACCAGGAUUAUUUGGACAUAUUCAAAAAUAAAAUGUGGACACAUUGUCUCUGCACUGAGACCAUGACUGCCCUAUUGAUCUACAAUUUUGGGCAACAGUUCCCUUUGGCCAUAUUUACGCAAUGUCCGAACCAGAACUGGUGGCUCUCUCUGCAUGUAGUCAAGAGAAACAGUCCAAAGGGUUUAUUCGCCAUUCAGCGUUUCCCACAGGGGCCCCAGUCCUCUUUGGAAAGAAGGAAGUGGGACUCUUACUCUGUGUAGACUACCAGGCUCUGACCAAAAUGGCAGUUUGGAACCACGGAUUUCAUUGUAGAACUCCCUGAAUCAAAUGGUCACACGGUACAACUGAUUAUCGUAGAUCAACUGACCAAGAUGGCAGGCUUCAUCUGCUGUGACCGCGUACCUUUGGCUGAAAGCACAGAUCAGCUCCAAAUUUGAAAACCAGAAUGCCAACCUCAACUCUUUUUGCUAAUGAUAGAUUAACCCCUGAUUUCAGCCCACACUACCAAUGGCCUCUCCGAACUUGCCGGACAACAACCUGGUUCUAUGAAUCCACCACAUUCAAGAAGAACUAAGGGGGCACCUCGAGGACACUAGGAAGGACUUCAAAUAAUAUGCAGACUGCCAUGACAGGAGGGGUCUUCUCAAUAGAGAAACUCUUUGCUGAAUGGAGGAAAAGCAUCUCCGAAGGAGGUGUAUAAGGAUCCUGGACUCUAUUGCCUGCAAGAAGCUGCAGUCACCUUUACAGGGCAGGACUCACCGUCCAUCAUGAAGGUUAAGACCGGAUGGGAGUUGAUGGAUUGACCUUGAUAUGUCAUGUCCUUGGGUGGAUGAGGGACAUACAUCACAGAGGUGGACAGCAGCAGAUGUUCCACACAUGGCCAGGAAUGGGCUAAACAACCUACAAUGAUAGGCAAAGACAGCCUUUUCCUGACAAUGAGAAAGUAACAAACAAGAAGAUAUGCAUUAGGCAUGGAGUUCUCUCACAUUUUCAAGAAACCUCAAAGAUGAUCAUGGAGCCAAAGAAAACCUACACGGGGAAAAAAAUAAUCACUGGUAUUAUCGGAACUCCAGCUGCCAGGAUCAAUUAAGGAGACUUACCUUGAGAAGCAGAGAAAGCUGCAGGAGGGAAAGAUCAGAUUUGUAAAAUGUAAAGGUUUUGAGGAGCGAAUACAAAGUAUGUAUACUGUAGUAGGGCCAACUUAUGUUUAGUCCUGACCAGAUACACAGGGGAUUCCAAGAAGCCUUCCCCCUCUCGAACCCCUGCACAGGAACCAAGCACAGUAUGGCUGUGGAAUGCAGGUACCAUGCUGUGUUAGUGCCGCCAAAGGCAUCGGCCGACCUGAAGGAAGUGGAGAGAGCUGAGUUGUGGGGGGUCCGUGCUCCCCAGGUCCUGCAUCUAUUAGCUGGUUGGGGGCAAAGUUAUGGUGAGGGGGCUCAGCUAUUUAAAGCGUGGUUGAGCUACUACUGCAGCCUGUGCUCUCCUGGAGCCCCAGGAGGUAGCAUUGCCACUUGCCAGGUGUCCAGUUUUCAACUGAACCCCAUCCGGUCAAAAAGGGACCCUCUGCAGCCUUCCCCAGCCU
This is a long non-coding RNA of Chelonia mydas (Green sea turtle), 4132 nucleotides long. RefSeq lists it as uncharacterized. NCBI's taxonomy places the organism in Eukaryota, Metazoa, Chordata, Testudines, Cheloniidae. The transcript is spliced from 11 exons. The record is from RefSeq and is a predicted model, not a curated record.